AGUCGAGCGAAGUCUUCGGACUUAGCGGCGGACGGGUGAGUAACGCGUGGGAACAUACCCUUUGGUACGGAGUAGCCUCGGGAAACUGGGAGUAAUACCGUAUGUGCCCUUCGGGGGAAAGAUUUAUCGCCAAAGGAUUGGCCCGCGUUGGAUUAGGUAGUUGGUGGGGUAAUGGCCUACCAAGCCGACGAUCCAUAGCUGGUUUGAGAGGAUGAUCAGCCACACUGGGACUGAGACACGGCCCAAACUCCUACGGGAGGCAGCAGUGGGGAAUUCUUUAACAAUGGGGGCAAGCUUGAUCUACCCAUGCCGCGGGAUCGAUAAAGGCCUUAGGGUUGAAAAAAUCUUUCUUUUGGGAAAAUAAUGGCGGCCCCAACAGAAAAAACCCCCG
Molecule: ribosomal RNA, 391 nt
Filed under: uncultured Alphaproteobacteria bacterium
Lineage: Bacteria; Pseudomonadati; Pseudomonadota; Alphaproteobacteria
Description: bacterial SSU rRNA
Rfam family: Bacterial small subunit ribosomal RNA
Source: RNAcentral